GAGCUCACACAAGCGGUGGAGCAUGUGGCUUAAUUCGAUGCAACGCGAAGAACCUUAUCCUGGGUUUGACAUGUAUGGAUUAACUCCCUGAAAGGGGAGCCACGCCCUCGUGGUGGAACAUACACAGGUGCUGCAUGGCUGUCGUCAGCUCGUGCUGUGAAGUGUCGGGUUAAGUCCCUUCAACGAGGCAACCCCUGUCGUUAGUUGCUAGCAGGUAAUGCUGAGGACUCUAGCGAGACUGCCGGUGUUAAACCGGACGAAGGUGGGGGAUGACGUCAAGUCCGAUGGCCUUUAUGCCCAGGGCUGCACACGUGCUACAAUGGCAGAUACAGAACGAUGCAAUGUCGCAAGGCG
This 354-nucleotide ribosomal RNA is filed under the name uncultured bacterium. RNAcentral's name for it is "bacterial SSU rRNA". It matches the Rfam family "Bacterial small subunit ribosomal RNA", at positions 917 to 1264 of the family's 1533-position model. The record is from RNAcentral.